RNAcentral lists this ribosomal RNA (433 nucleotides) under uncultured bacterium. RNAcentral's name for it is "partial 16S ribosomal RNA". It matches the Rfam family "Bacterial small subunit ribosomal RNA", at positions 29 to 507 of the family's 1533-position model. The record is from RNAcentral.
AACGAACGCUGGCGGCAUGCCUAACACAUGCAAGUCGAACGAGACCUUCGGGUCUAGUGGCGCACGGGUGCGUAACGCGUGGGAACCUGCCCUUAGGUUCGGAAUAACUCCCCGAAAGGGGUGCUAAUACCGGAUAAUGUCUUCGGACCAACGAUUUAUCGCCUUUGGAUGGGCCCGCGUUGGCUUAGCUAGUUGGUAGGGUAAAAGCCUACCAAGGCGACGAUCCAUAGCUGGUCUGAGAGGAUGAUCAGCCACACUGGGACUGAGACACGGCCCAGACUCCUACGGGAGGCAGCAGUGGGGAAUAUUGGACAAUGGGCGAAAGCCUGAUCCAGCAAUGCCGCGUGAGUGAUGAAGGCCUUAGGGUUGUAAAGCUCUUUUACCCGGGAUGAUAAUGACAGUACCGGGAGAAUAAGCUCCGGCUAACUCCGUG